Non-coding RNA from Coturnix japonica (Japanese quail), 216 nucleotides. The record is from RefSeq and is a predicted model, not a curated record. NCBI's taxonomy places the organism in Eukaryota, Metazoa, Chordata, Aves, Galliformes, Phasianidae.
UGGUAGGGCAGAACACACGACUGCAGGAGUUCACGGAGCGCUGGGCUGCAGCUCUACCAGGAAUAGAAGAGAAAGAGAUGGGAUGUAUUUAGCAAGACAGACUGGAAGGAAACCAAUAACAGUUCACCAGUUUGGCAUUUACAAUGAACUCAGAGUUGGUGUAUAAUGACUCCUUUUCAUCUUACCUGACACUGCAAUCUGCAGUUCUCCUUCAGG